Molecule: ribosomal RNA, 332 nt
Filed under: uncultured eukaryote
Lineage: Eukaryota
Description: partial 18S ribosomal RNA
Rfam family: Eukaryotic small subunit ribosomal RNA
Source: RNAcentral
CCCUUAGAUGUCCUGGGCUGCACGCGCGCUGCACUGGAAGUUACGGAUUGAGAUACUACCUUGUCCGAAAUGGUCCGGGUAAUCACCUAAAAGCUUGUCAUAAUUGGAAUGGAUUAUUGUAACUAGUAAUCCUGAACGAGGAAUUCCUAGUAAGUCCCAGUCAACAGCUGGUACUGAUUACGUCCCUGCCCUUUGUACACACCGCCCGUCGCUACUACUGAUUGGACGUUUAAGCAAGAUUUUUAAACACUGACAGUGUGUAGUUCACGCUAUACUACAGUGAGAAGAAGAAGAUCGAGCUUACUUGUCUAGAGGAAGUAAAAGUCGUAACA